UGACUGCAUGAGGAAGCCUGUGACCUUCUGAUGCAGUUACAGCUAUGAAUAUCUUUGUGAGAUAAGACUGAAACAGUCACCUGGGAAAGCAAGGAGUGCAGACGCCAAGACGAUUGUAGGGUAUUCCUAAUCCUGUGCAUGGGCCAGACGCAGAGGAUCAUGGAACAGGAAAGGGUAUCCAUAAAAGGAGAAAACAUGACUGAAGACACUGAAAUCCUCCUACCCGUCCUGAAGGCUGCACUGACUGCAUCUACACACAGCUGUGACCUCCCAUUCUCCACAGGUGUCUGGCCACAACUCCAGUUCAGGAAGAAACCUGGAUCCUGAAGCAGCUUGUUUUCACACAGGCAGAGAUGGAUAACAGCUUCUAUAGUGCAGCUUGCCAGUGUUUAAUUUUGCUGCAGUCCUAAGGGUCAGGUAAAUGUGGCAUGCGCAUGGGUACACAUGUACAAUAAAUAUAAUGUCUGUGUGUGUUGGAAGGGAGGG
RNAcentral lists this long non-coding RNA (486 nucleotides) under Anser brachyrhynchus (Pink-footed goose). RNAcentral describes it as "lncRNA (ENSABRG00000004298.1)". The record is from RNAcentral. Lineage: Eukaryota; Metazoa; Chordata; Aves; Anseriformes; Anatidae.